AUAAUAAAUAAAUAAAUGAAAAUUGGACCGAUACAGAGAAGAUUAGCAUCACCCUUGCGCAAGGAUGACACACAUAUCCAUGAAGCAUUUCAUAUUUAA
Myotis davidii is the source of this 99-nucleotide non-coding RNA. NCBI's taxonomy places the organism in Eukaryota, Metazoa, Chordata, Mammalia, Chiroptera, Vespertilionidae. The record is from Rfam.